UGCGCGUGCGCGGCAAGACCGCGGUUUGGCCCUGGACAGGCGCCGUAGACGAGAGGCUGGGUGGAUGUUGUGAGCAGGGCGCCGCGGCCGAGGCUGGGGCCCCCCAGGACCGCUGGCUGCCCUCAAGAGAUGAAGGAUGGCGUCCAAAGAGUCCAGCAUGUCUUUCUCCCGCAAGAGCUAUAGGCUGACAUCAGACGCUGAGAAGUCCAGGGUCACAGGCAUCGUGCACGAGAAACUGCUGAAUGACUACCUGCACCGCAUCUUUUCCUCUCCUGAGCACGCGCCCACUGCAGCCACCAGCAGG
This is a non-coding RNA of Leptonychotes weddellii (Weddell seal), 304 nucleotides long. Lineage: Eukaryota; Metazoa; Chordata; Mammalia; Carnivora; Phocidae. The record is from RefSeq and is a predicted model, not a curated record.